UCGUCAUCGUCGGCGGCCGGAACACCGCCGCCGUCAAACAGGUGUCAGAGGGCCUGUUGGCGCUGGGCUACCCGCGGGUCUGCACGCUGCACCGCGGCGCCGACGCGCUACGCGACGCGCAGGCCCUGCAGGUGCCCUCCAGCUAGGUUGGUCGCCCCUGCCAUCUGUUGAGCGGGCCGUGCACCACGGCCGCGUUACCGCCAUCUGUCGGUCAAGACGGACACUGCCGCCGGCCCCGCCACUGGCCGGCCACGGAAAGAGUGGCAUAUGCCAAGUCACGCGGCCUCGCCCAUCGCACCGGACCGCCCGCCCCCCAAGCGCCGUGGGCGUUAAAGGUGCAAGACACGGGUCUGCCAUUCCAAAAGUGCGUUGUGAUGUAGGUUGCAUCAGAGCUUAAUGAUUUAUGCGCGGCAUUUCCAGGGCGCAUUGAGUUACCUGCGUCUCAGUUUAACGGUGUCACCGUCAUAUUUUUACGUAGGGAGUGCUACUUAUAAUGUAUUGUCACUUCGCUGCCGCCGUUGAGCGUUAUUGCGACGUGAGGAGGUGAAUCUGCGGACGCUGGGCCGACCGUCGGCUGGCUCGAGCGCUGCCAACAGUGACCAACGGUGCGACAACGCACUGUGCACAGCGUGGAGUGAAUCCUGCUUAUCGCCUGCUGGAAUGUGACGAUGCCUGGGCGGGAUAGUUGAGCGCGCUCUCAGUUUACCAGUGUGAAGAGGCGUGCGACUGCGACUUCGUGCCACUGCACUGUCGCAGGGCCGUUAUUGGGAACAGCCAUGUAUGGCGAUGCAUUAUACUGCAAGUGGACCAUGCAAGAUGCGAGAAUUUACAAGAGAAUAUAAUAUCGUUUCACGCCUUGGCA
Pollicipes pollicipes is the source of this 862-nucleotide long non-coding RNA. RefSeq lists it as uncharacterized. The transcript has 2 exons. The record is from RefSeq and is a predicted model, not a curated record. Lineage: Eukaryota; Metazoa; Arthropoda; Thecostraca; Pollicipedomorpha; Pollicipedidae.